CAACCUCUCAAGCACGGCUUGUGUGUUGGGCCAUCGUCCCUCUUUGUGGACGGGCCUGAAAUGCAGUGGCAGCACCGAGUUCUGGUGUCUGAGUGUAUGGGAAUCUCUUAUCGCUCAAAGACCCAAUCGGCGCUGAUGUCAGAUUUUUAUCCA
This 153-nucleotide unclassified non-coding RNA is filed under the name Aphanoascus keratinophilus. RNAcentral describes it as "partial internal transcribed spacer 2". Lineage: Eukaryota; Fungi; Ascomycota; Eurotiomycetes; Onygenales; Onygenaceae. The record is from RNAcentral.